CCAAGCUGGAGGCGGCGGUGACCCAGUCUGAGUGGCAGGGUGAGGUGGCCCUUAGCGACGACUGCUGCAAGCUGGCCGAGCUGGAGGGCACCCUGUAGAAGGUCAAGCAGGACAUGGCCUGCCUGAUCAGGGAGUACCAGGAGGUGAUGAACUCCAAGCUGGGCCCCGAUGUGAAGGCUGCCUCUUCUUGCCAACUUUUAGAUGGUGAGGAACAAAGGCUGUGUGAUGGCAUCCAUGCUGUGAAUAUCUGUGUGAGCAGCUCCUUGGUGUGGUUGCAUGUGGAGCCCUCUUGGCCAACUGCACCUGCGGCAUCAGCUCCUGUGGGAUGGGGCCUGUGUCAGCAGCUGCAGGAAGUGUUAAGUUGUCAGAGCUUGAGGAUGCACCCAGCGCAGCCUCUCACACUUGCAAGGGUCCCAGCUGGCCCUACUUGACCUUGUGCAGCCUGGUGGUGGGGCGCCACUGCUUGACCCACCCUGAUCCAUGUUCUCUGCUUCCCAUUUCUUACUUCUUGUUGUGUG
Molecule: long non-coding RNA, 518 nt
Filed under: Macaca nemestrina (pig-tailed macaque)
Lineage: Eukaryota; Metazoa; Chordata; Mammalia; Primates; Cercopithecidae
Description: lncRNA (ENSMNEG00000045792.1)
Source: RNAcentral